GCUGGGCUGAGAGAAGCCGGA
RNAcentral lists this microRNA (21 nucleotides) under Ornithorhynchus anatinus (platypus). Its description in RNAcentral is "oan-miR-1349". Lineage: Eukaryota; Metazoa; Chordata; Mammalia; Monotremata; Ornithorhynchidae. The record is from miRBase by way of RNAcentral.